GGAAUUUUGGGCAAUGGGCGAAAGCCUGACCCAGCAACGCCGCGUGGGGGAUGAAGGCCCUCGGGUCGUAAAUCUCUGUCGGGAGGGAAGAACGGUUGCCCUUCGAACAGGUGGGCAGCCUGACGGUACCUCCAAAGGAAGCAGCGGCUAACUCCUUGCCAGCAGCCGCGGUAAUACGGAGGGUGCGAGCGUUGUUCGGAAUCAUUGGGCGUAAAGCGCGUGUAGGCGGCUUGGCAAGUCGGUUGUGAAAUCCCGGGGCCCAACCCCGGAACUGCAAUCGAAACUGCCUCGCUAGAGUCCCGGAGAGGAAGGCGGAAUUCCCGGUGUAGAGGUGAAAUUCGUAGAUAUCGGGAGGAACACCAGUGGCGAAGGCGGCCUUCUGGACGGUGACUGACGCUGAGACGCGAAAGCGUGGGGAGCAAAC
RNAcentral lists this ribosomal RNA (424 nucleotides) under uncultured bacterium. RNAcentral describes it as "bacterial SSU rRNA". It matches the Rfam family "Bacterial small subunit ribosomal RNA", at positions 358 to 773 of the family's 1533-position model. The record is from RNAcentral.